This 450-nucleotide ribosomal RNA is filed under the name uncultured bacterium. RNAcentral describes it as "bacterial SSU rRNA". It matches the Rfam family "Bacterial small subunit ribosomal RNA", at positions 354 to 796 of the family's 1533-position model. The record is from RNAcentral.
GUGGGGAAUUUUGGACAAUGGGCGAAAGCCUGAUCCAGCCAUGCCGCGUGCAGGAUGAAGGCCUUCGGGUUGUAAACUGCUUUUGUACGGAACGAAAAGACUCUGGUUAAUACCUGGGGUCCAUGACGGUACCGUAAGAAUAAGCACCGGCUAACUACGUGCCAGCAGCCGCGGUAAUACGUAGGGUGCAAGCGUUAAUCGGAAUUACUGGGCGUAAAGCGUGCGCAGGCGGUUAUAUAAGACAGAUGUGAAAUCCCCGGGCUCAACCUGGGAACUGCAUUUGUGACUGUAUAGCUAGAGUACGGCAGAGGGGGAUGGAAUUCCGCGUGUAGCAGUGAAAUGCGUAGAUAUGCGGAGGAACACCGAUGGCGAAGGCAAUCCCCUGGGCCUGUACUGACGCUCAUGCACGAAAGCGUGGGGAGCAAACAGGAUUAGAAACCCCUGUAGUCC